RNAcentral lists this long non-coding RNA (212 nucleotides) under Lathyrus oleraceus (garden pea). RNAcentral describes it as "Pisum sativum (pea) long non-coding RNA (PSAT_LNC022782)". The record is from RNAcentral. Lineage: Eukaryota; Viridiplantae; Streptophyta; Magnoliopsida; Fabales; Fabaceae.
AAUUAUCAAAAAAUUGGGUAAAUAAAUAAUAGAAGUACAUAUCUCACGUAUGACAUUCGGAAACAAUCAUCUAGAACUUAAAUAGUAGUAAAAAAGAAAUAUUAAAAAUAAUUAAUCAUAAAUGAAAGAGACAGUUACAAAGGGAAGAGAACGGGAGACGAAAAAACAAUGCAAAAAAAAACAAAGAAUAAGGAAACAAGCAGGAACAAUUG